Molecule: long non-coding RNA, 368 nt
Organism: Sander lucioperca (pikeperch)
Lineage: Eukaryota; Metazoa; Chordata; Actinopteri; Perciformes; Percidae
Exons: 3
Source: RefSeq, a predicted model, not a curated record
ACACCACCUGCUGGGUCAUUCAGGUGACUGAGGAAGCUCCUGUGUAACAUGACUGUGAGGAUUUGGAGUUUUCUGUGUUCAUGUUCUUACAGUUUAUCUAACAAACAUACUCUGAUCUCUCCUACAGCUUCAUGGCGCCUGUGUUAAGUUACUUCUGGUUAAAUGAAGAGGUGCAGGCGAUACAUACUGCUCUUUGUGCAAAGCAGCAACCUUCUCACACGUUAUCACAAGCGGAGCCUGCAGAGUGUGACUGAAGUCCUCCAGACUCCACCUGCUCCACCUCUUUCGCUGCAUUCAUCCCUUCCGCUUUGCAAUGUCAAAAAAAGUCCAGGAUGCAGCCUGACUGUCAGGUUGUGUCGACCUGCAUU